This 301-nucleotide ribosomal RNA is filed under the name uncultured bacterium. RNAcentral describes it as "partial 16S ribosomal RNA". It matches the Rfam family "Bacterial small subunit ribosomal RNA", at positions 509 to 808 of the family's 1533-position model. The record is from RNAcentral.
CAGCAGCCGCGGUAAUACAGAGGGUGCAAGCGUUAAUCGGAAUUACUGGGCGUAAAGCGCGCGUAGGUGGUUUGUUAAGUUGGAUGUGAAAGCCCCGGGCUCAACCUGGGAACUGCAUCCAAAACUGGCAAGCUAGAGUACGGUAGAGGGUGGUGGAAUUUCCUGUGUAGCGGUGAAAUGCGUAGAUAUAGGAAGGAACACCAGUGGCGAAGGCGACCACCUGGACUGAUACUGACACUGAGGUGCGAAAGCGUGGGGAGCAAACAGGAUUAGAUACCCCGUAGUCCCUGUCUCUUAUACA